CCACUUUCAUUUGGGGGGUUCUGUUUUGAUAAGGCAAGGAGAAGGGAAGGAGCUCGAGCGGCGGAGGAGAGGAAGCGAUUUCUUAUGUUCAUGGCGAUUCCGGGCUAUUCCACCGCCCGAUUUCGAUUUCUCCUCCCUUUUCUCUUCGAUCCCCGCUGCCGCGGUUGGUUGUCCUUGUCUCUCGCGUUUCCCUGUGUUGUGGCUGUGUAGUUCCGGAUCUAGGUAAGUUUUGGAUCCGUGGUUCAUCUGUUAUUGGUGUUGUCCGUGGAUCCGUGGUAGGUGCAUGUUGCUGCCGUGUCUGUUUCUAGUCCGCCAUGCCUAGCGCUCCAUUUCCCAUCCUUCUGCCCGCCUGAGUUGUGUAGGAGCUUGUUGUAUGUGGGGAGUUCUAAUCCAUCUGCUUGUUGUGGUCCUUUUCUCCCCUGCUUGUAGAUGUAGAGGUAGGCGUAGGUUGUUUAUUCUGAUGUAGAUGUAGAGGUAGGCGAAGUUAUAGUUGCAGCGGUGGAUUCGCCCUAUCAAUUUUAUUUCUGCUGGCCUGGGUGUCUGUUCCUUUGUCGUUAGAUGUAGUUGCAGAUGGUCUAGCAUGGGUUUCUGCCUGCUUCUGCAGUUUACUUGUAGUUGCUAUUAGCUGCUGAUGUUUGCUGUUGUAGUCCCUGGAAUUCAGUAUGAAUUUUUUUGUUAGAUGUAGGUGUUCAUUUCACCCGGUACCUGAAUCUCUCUGAAUUUGUGUGUACUAGGCUGCAGUGUUGUUAUAGUGUUAGUCCAGGAAUCUCUCUGAAUUUCAUGCUUCUUUACGGUGUAUUUUUACUCCAGACUUGAAGUGUAACUUACCCCUAGAAUUGCAGUGUAUCCCCAUCCAGAAUUACUGUGUAAUUUAACUCAUAAUCACAGUGUAACUUGCCCCAUAAUUGCAGUGCAUUUACAGUGUAUCCUGAUGCUUCUUUAUUUGUUGUUACUCUGUAAUUUGUCCUAGUAGUACUGUGUAGUUCCCCCCUAAUUACAGUGUAAUCCUGAUGCUUCUUUCUUCAGUGUAAAUUUUGCUAUAAUUACUGUGUAACAUGUCGUAGAAUUACACUGUAGGUUACCCUGCAAUUACAGUGCAAUAUACCGUGAUUACCGUGUGUUUUUUGUGCUUCUUUAUUUGUAGUUACUGUGUAAUUUGUCCUAGAAUUACUGUGUAAUAUUUUCCCCCAUUACAGUGUAAUUCUCAUGUGUUGUAGAAUCACACUGUAGGUUAGCCUGCAAUUACAGUGUAAUAUACCGUAAUUACAUUGUUUUUUUCGUGCUUCUUUAUUUUGUAGUUACUGUGUAAUUUUCCCUAGAGUUAUUGUGUAAUAUUUUCCCCCGUUACAGUGUAAUUCUCAUGCUUCUUUCAGUGUAAAUUGCAGUGUAUAUUUUUCAGUGUAAUACUGCGCCAGUUUCUUUGUUAUUUACAUUGUAAUUUUUCUCAGAUGUUUUGCAUGCAUUCAUGCGGUUUUGCACUGUAAUAUCCCCCAUUCUUACUAUAUAAUUUAUCUUCAGUUUUUGGCAGUGUACUUCCUCUACCUUUUCAUUGUAAGUUGCCCUAAUUAUUGUGUAUUUUGACUUAGAGCUUCACUGUAUUUAGGUUGGUUUUUACACUGUAUUUUAAGUGAUUCUUGCACUGUAUUAAUAUGCCCCAUUAUUCUAUAAUUCCCCUGAUUGCUGCCUUUCAGUGUAUUUGUUGUGAGAUUUCCCUUGUAAUUGAGCCCCAUUACUCUAUAAUUUUCAACUUUCUUUAAUUUCUUUUUUUCGUGUGUCAUGUAUUCUGUUUUGUUAGGUUUAGGUCAAUGGGGAGACUACGGAAAGUCUCUCACAAGGAUGUUUCGGUAGUUUCUUCUAUCAUGAGUGCUGAUUCUUGGAAUGAUCCUUUUGUGCCUAAUGACUUUGCGGAAGAUGGUUCUAAUGCUAUGUCUUUGGAUCUUUCUAGUGAUGAUAGAGGGUUUGAUAAAGCUAUUUUUCAAGAAUUUCAUUGCAAUCCCCAUGCUUCCUUUUUGUAAUUGCAGUGUAAUAUACCCUAGAAUUGCAGUGUAAUUUAGCCCAGAUUUUAGUGUAAUCUCAAUGCUUCAUUUUUUUAAUUACAGUGUAAUUUUCCUAGAAUUACAGUGUAAACUCCAUGCUUCAUUUAUGUAAUUACAGUGUAAUUUUCCC
This is a long non-coding RNA of Triticum aestivum (bread wheat), 2166 nucleotides long. RefSeq lists it as uncharacterized. The record is from RefSeq and is a predicted model, not a curated record. NCBI's taxonomy places the organism in Eukaryota, Viridiplantae, Streptophyta, Magnoliopsida, Poales, Poaceae. The transcript has 2 exons.